AGCUACUAGAAACAAGAGGCUGGAAGAAAACUGGUGCGUGUGACUCUGCGCUGAGGCAGAGGAAGGCACGUACAAAGAACCUGCCUGCCUUGCAUAGAAAGCUGCUUCGUGCCUCUGAGUGCUGCUAAGAUCCGAGCUGCUGUCGCUAUCCUGCCACCAUCACAAAGGGCCCACAGAACCAUCAAGCCAACCUUCUCAGCCCGUGUACUGAGCCAGUGCCAGCAGACAUAUCUGCAGGUGAAAAAAAAUAAAUCUCUAUUUGUUUGA
Eptesicus fuscus (big brown bat) is the source of this 267-nucleotide long non-coding RNA. RefSeq lists it as uncharacterized. Lineage: Eukaryota; Metazoa; Chordata; Mammalia; Chiroptera; Vespertilionidae. The transcript has 2 exons. The record is from RefSeq and is a predicted model, not a curated record.